UACGUAGGGGGCAAGCGUUGUUCGGAAUCAUUGGGCGUAAAGGGCGCGUAGGCGGUUUUGUAAGUCGGAUGUGAAAGCCCAGGGCUCAACCUUGGAAGUGCAUCCGAAACUGCGAAACUUGAAUCCUGGAGAGGGUGGUGGAAUUCCCAGUGUAGAGGUGAAAUUCGUAGAUAUUGGGAGGAACACCGGUGGCGAAGGCGACCACCUGGACAGAGAUUGACGCUGAGGCGCGAGAGCGUGGGGAGCAAACAGG
RNAcentral lists this ribosomal RNA (253 nucleotides) under uncultured bacterium. Its description in RNAcentral is "partial 16S ribosomal RNA". It matches the Rfam family "Bacterial small subunit ribosomal RNA", at positions 524 to 776 of the family's 1533-position model. The record is from RNAcentral.